This 871-nucleotide ribosomal RNA is filed under the name uncultured bacterium. RNAcentral describes it as "bacterial SSU rRNA". It matches the Rfam family "Bacterial small subunit ribosomal RNA", at positions 9 to 873 of the family's 1533-position model. The record is from RNAcentral.
UGAUUAGAGUUUGAUCCUGGCUCAGAGUGAACGCUGGCGGCGUGCUUAACACAUGCAAGUCGAACGAGAACGGUCCUUCGGGAUGUCAGCUAAGUGGCGGACGGGUGAGUAAUGUAUAGCUAAUGUGCCCCUUGGAGAGGGAUAACAGUUGGAAACGACUGCUAACACCUCAUACUCCUUCUAUAUUAAUUAUAGUUGGGAAACGUUUUUUCGCCAAGGGAUCGGGCUAUAUGGUAUCAGCUUGUUGGUGAGGUAAUGGCUCACCAAGGCUAUGACGCCUAACUGGUCUGAGAGGAUGAUCAGUCACACUGGAACUGAGACACGGUCCAGACUCCUACGGGAGGCAGCAGUGGGGAAUAUUGCACAAUGGAGGAGACUCUGGUGCAGCAACGCCGCGUGGAGGAUGACGCAUUUCGGUGUGUAAACUCCUUUUAUAUAGGAAGAUAAUGACGGUACCUCCAGAAGAAGACCCGGCCAACUACGUGCCAGCAGCCGCGGUAACACGUAGGGGCCAAACGUUGUCCGGAUUUAUUGGGCGUAAAGGGCUCGUAGGCGGCUCGACAAGUCAACCGUGACAGCCCGGGGCUCAACCCCGGGACGCCGGUCGAAACUGUCGUGGCUAGUGUCCGGUAGAGGUGAGUGGAAUUCUCGGUGUAGCGGUGAAAUGCGCAGAUAUCGAGAGGAACACCAGUAGCGAAGGCGGCUCACUGGGCCGGUACAGACGCUGAGGAGCGAAAGCGUGGGGAGCAAACAGGAUUAUUUUCCCUGGUAGUCCACGCCGUAAACGUUGAACCCUAUUUUUUCGUACUAAUCCACGUCUGCCGUGCCGCAGCUAACGCAUUAAGUUUCCGGCCUUAUAGUACCGGCCCUG